Molecule: transfer RNA, 66 nt
Filed under: Pselaphinae sp. 11 EF-2015
Lineage: Eukaryota; Metazoa; Arthropoda; Insecta; Coleoptera; Staphylinidae
Description: tRNA-Asn
Source: RNAcentral
UUAAUUGAAACCAAAAAGAGGUAAAUCACUGUUAAUKAUAUAAUUGAAUUUUAUAUUCCAAUUAAA